RNAcentral lists this ribosomal RNA (497 nucleotides) under uncultured bacterium. RNAcentral describes it as "partial 16S ribosomal RNA". It matches the Rfam family "Bacterial small subunit ribosomal RNA", at positions 28 to 507 of the family's 1533-position model. The record is from RNAcentral.
GAUGAACGCUGGCGGCGUGCCUAAUACAUGCAAGUCGAGCGAACAGACGAGGAGCUUGCUCCUCUGACGUUAGCGGCAGACGGGUGAGUAACACGUGGAUAACCUACCUAUAAGACUGGGAUAACUUCGGGAAACCGGAGCUAAUACCGGAUAAUAUAUUGAACCGCAUGGUUCAAUAGUGAAAGACGGUUUUGCUGUCACUUAUAGAUGGAUCCGCGCCGCAUUAGCUAGUUGGUAAGGUAACGGCUUACAAAGGCAACGAUCCGUAGACGAACUGAAAGGGUCGUAGGCCACGCGGGGACUGAGACACGGUCCAGAAUCCUACGGAAGGCAGCAGUAGGGAAUCUUCCGCAAUGGGCGAAAGCCUGACGGAGCAACGCCGCGUGAGUGAUGAAGGUCUUCGGAUCGUAAAACUCUGUUAUUAGGGAAGAACAAAUGUGUAAGUAACUAUGCACGUCUUGACGGUACCUAAUCAGAAAGCCACGGCUAACUACGUG